CUCUCCAAGCUCGUUUCAUUCGCCCGUGCCCUCGCCGCCGGUCAUCCCCGCGUCGCCGCCGAUCACCGCUUCACCAGGAGCGGGGAAGGGGGCCUUUCGGCGCAACAUUCGAGCUCGUAUUGCAUUGCACCAGGAAGAAAAAGGUCGCUGCUCUUUCGCUUGCUGAGGUAAGAUCAAAUCAUCUUAUCCGUGAUUUCCUAAGGAUUUAUUUUACUUGCUCAAGCUUUUGAACAUUCCUUUCCAUCAAUCCGCCCCUUCUUCAACUAUGACGCCGUGCGUGUGUUCUUCAACCUGUGAUUUUCAUUUUCUUGUAUAUACCGGCUUCCAAUUUGCCAUUGCUCUAAAAUGAGCGAGUCUACACUCUAAAAUGCGUCUGUAUACAUCUUAUAUAGUUCGUAUUGAAAUCUCUAAAAAAAUCUUAUAUUUAGAAAUGGAUGGAGUAUGUGCCACUGUUGUAUACGAGUACAUCCGCAACUAACAUUGCACAGGUAAGAAAAUAUUCACCUACCCCAGAAGGGUGCAGAGAAGUGAAGAUCGAGUCGAUUUAUUCAAAGGGAUGAUCACAGCACAACAAUGGAGUACACAACAACGCCGACAUCAACAACGCAACGCAACAUGCGGCCGUGUACAUAUUGGUCACAGCUUAAUUACACUCAUCACACAAGGUGCGCGCAAUGCAGGUAUAGCUCCUCUG
Molecule: ribosomal RNA, 694 nt
Filed under: Triticum aestivum (bread wheat)
Lineage: Eukaryota; Viridiplantae; Streptophyta; Magnoliopsida; Poales; Poaceae
Description: partial small subunit ribosomal RNA
Source: RNAcentral